RNAcentral lists this long non-coding RNA (123 nucleotides) under Calidris pugnax (ruff). RNAcentral describes it as "lncRNA (ENSCPUG00000011145.1)". The record is from RNAcentral. Lineage: Eukaryota; Metazoa; Chordata; Aves; Charadriiformes; Scolopacidae.
UGAUAACAGUUAAUUCAGGCUCCAAACAGGAGACAGCUGCUUAAGUGUUCCCUGACUGGUGUUGCUGAGCACGAAGCACCGAAUAUCAGGCUGCCCGGUGGCCCCUCCAGGACUCCACAUUCC